Molecule: ribosomal RNA, 253 nt
Filed under: uncultured bacterium
Lineage: Bacteria
Description: partial 16S ribosomal RNA
Rfam family: Bacterial small subunit ribosomal RNA
Source: RNAcentral
UACGAAGGGGGCUAGCGUUGCUCGGAAUCACUGGGCGUAAAGCGCACGUAGGCGGAUUCUUAAGUCGGUGGUGAAAUCCUGGAGCUCAACUCCAGAACUGCCUUCGAUACUGAGAGUCUUGAGUCCGGGAGAGGUGAGUGGAGCUGCGAGUGUAGAGGUGAAAUUCGUAGAUAUUCGCAAGAACACCAGUGGCGAAGGCGGCUCACUGGCCCGGUACUGACGCUGAGGUGCGAAAGCGUGGGGAGCAAACAGG